This 502-nucleotide ribosomal RNA is filed under the name uncultured bacterium. RNAcentral describes it as "partial 16S ribosomal RNA". It matches the Rfam family "Bacterial small subunit ribosomal RNA", at positions 28 to 523 of the family's 1533-position model. The record is from RNAcentral.
GAUGAACGCUAGCGGUAGGCCUAACACAUGCAAGUCGAGGGGCAGCACAGAAACAGCAAUGUUUUGGUGGCGACCGGCGGACGGGUGCGUAACGCGUAUGCAGCCUACCUUUAACAGGGGGAUAACGGAGAGAAAUUUCCACUAAUACCCCAUAACAUCGAUCAAGGCAUCUUGAUUGGUUGAAAACUCCGGUGGUUAAAGAUGGGCAUGCGUUGUAUUAGGUAGUUGGUGAGGUAAUGGCUCACCAAGCCUACGAUACAUAGGGGGACUGAGAGGUUAGCCCCCCACACUGGUACUGAGACACGGACCAGACUCCUACGGGAGGCAGCAGUGAGGAAUAUUGGUCAAUGGGGGCAACCCUGAACCAGCCAUGCCGCGUGCAGGAAGACGGCUCUAUGAGUUGUAAACUGCUUUUAAACAGGGAUAAAGCACAGUAUGUAUACUGUGUUGAAGGUACUGUAAGAAUAAGGAUCGGCUAACUCCGUGCCAGCCGCCGCUGUAA